AGUGAAUGUUGAAACUGUCCUGCAGUGAUUCCACUUCUCAAAGCACCACCCCAGGGCCACAUUCACUUGGGACUGGAUUCGAUACAAUUUCAAAACGGGAGUCGGAAUUCCUUAGGACCCUCUGUGGACAAAAAGCUGAUACCCCUGUUACCACAAGGAUUCCUGCACUUCUUCUAGUUUGUAGCUUUCCAGGAGACCUGGCAGAAACAACAAAUCAAAUCUCCAUGCUUAACAAUCCUUUACCUUUGAAGACUUUAAAAACAAAUGAGGACACCAUCCCUGCUCAUUCACCCUGCCAUCCGAGUGCAAUCUACAAAGUGCUCUCCUGCUGAUUGUUUCAUCUCCAUUAACGCCCUUGUGAAGCAUUCCCAUUCUACCAGUGAGGACGCUAAGAACCCGAGGAAGGUAAAUGAUUUGCCCAAGGUUGCACAGCUACCAUGUGGCAAAACCAGAACUUUUCUUAAAAAUCUAGCGUUCUUUCCACCAAAUAACAGCUAAUAUGAACAAUCAGACAUGGGGCUCUCAAGGAAAAGGUUUUCAUGAUAACUUUGUUGUGCCUCGGAUUUCAUCUGUCAUUUUUUGAAUAGCUAAAUGACUGAGAAGUCUAAAGAGCUGAGGAAUCUAAACGAGAAAAGAUGCCUCCUUGUCUGGAAAGAGGGUGGGUCAUCUUUACAGAUUAAUGAAGCGGCACAGAAACAUCGGUAGGAGGGGGAUGAAGAUUACACAUGCAGUUAAGAAGUAGGCUGGGCUGGGAAUCUAACCCUGAAAAAAGACAGAUUGCGUUUAUCCCUGGAUUAGCAGUCUAGAAACUCUUCAGUCACUCAUAAAAUCUUCUAGCUGAAUCCAGAGCAGAAAGGGUGGCAGGAACAAGAGAAGGCGGCAGGCUGAGUAGAAAAAAAUAAAACAUCAUAAAGAGGGAAGAAAAGAGAAAAUUCUACCAAAAGAGAGGAGAAUGCAGAAGUGCAGAAAACAGAAAGCAACAGGAGAAAGAUGACAUGGGCAUGGAGCAAAAACAGGUAGACAACCACAAAAAUCCAUUGUGUUGGAACUCAGAAAGCAGAGGUGGCCCCAAAUGCAGACCAGCUGUGUGCUAGUGAAAAUCUGUUGCAUGGUGAGAGUUUCUGAAAACUGUGUGGCGUCUUUGUCAGAUUCUAGUUCAGAAAGGGACCUAAAAUCAGUCUGCUGGGGGAACCUUUCAGAUGUUGGUGAGGAAGGAUAAGAUACAGCCUUUCUGGUAUGUAGGUCAGAAGAGUUCAGCUCCAGGACCCUGAAAGAAAAAGAGUUAAGGAAACUUGAUCUUGGUUGGCUUCCAACUUUGCAGGGAAAUACAGCUACAGAGGAAGGAGAGGUAGAGCCAGGAUUUUGAAGUCUACAGCAAAUUGCAAAAACUGGUGAGAGGUAGAGUUACCAAAGAGCUCAGGGAUGCAGUGAAAAGCAACAGGAGAAGAAUCAGGGCAGGAAGAACUGAACAAACUGCCUGUUGUCAGGAGCAGAAAUCCCUCCCCCAGGUAGCCAAACACCCAUGAGCUGGUUGCCAGCCUUGCUCUGAGGGGCAGGAGUUAUCCAGAUCCCACUUCUCAGCUGAGUUCAAGUUCCUG
This 1598-nucleotide long non-coding RNA is filed under the name Homo sapiens (human). RNAcentral's name for it is "non-protein coding lnc-CD3E-1:2". Lineage: Eukaryota; Metazoa; Chordata; Mammalia; Primates; Hominidae. The record is from RNAcentral.